Non-coding RNA from Vicia faba (fava bean), 363 nucleotides. NCBI's taxonomy places the organism in Eukaryota, Viridiplantae, Streptophyta, Magnoliopsida, Fabales, Fabaceae. The record is from the annotation of a GenBank genome assembly.
UCACGAAAUCUUUGUGGGGAUAGUUCUCGAAGAACAAUCUGUUUCUGGCAAAAGAAACUGAUUACAAAUGUAGAGAGAAAGUGUCGUUUUUCGUAUUUGAAACCGAGACCAAAUGACUCCUUAUAUAGGAGAUCAAUAACUGAAACCGAAAAGACACACCUGUUUGGAAAAACGGUUAUGUCGGUUGGGGAAAAGGAUUCAAAAUUUUCGAACGGGGCGCUCCCCCGUACCCCGCCAGGGGCUUUGCCCCUUGGAACCCCGUUUCAAUUAUUCAUAUUCAAUUAUACAUUGGCUCGACGAGCAUGCACUCCGCACUUCCCUAACUCGUUUCCAAGCUUAACGCAUAAUUGCAUCGGUCUUUAG